Molecule: non-coding RNA, 385 nt
Organism: Lonchura striata (white-rumped munia)
Lineage: Eukaryota; Metazoa; Chordata; Aves; Passeriformes; Estrildidae
Source: RefSeq, a predicted model, not a curated record
AUGAGACACAGGUCUACCACCUUCAUCAGUCUCACCUUUCCUAAGGAAAAGCAGAAGUUACUUGUGCCACAUGAUAUGAACAGGAAAGAAAUGGUCUGUUAAGGACAAGGAAUUGGAAAGUGGUUGGAAGCUGAUAAUCUGGUAUCAGGGUAAUGGCAGUGUAAUCUGGCAUUGCCCUGGGGAUUUCCUGUAAGAAGAAUAACAAAUUGUCUAGCAGGGUUAUCACAGCAAGCACAGCAAAUAUCAUGGGACAAGGAGGAAAGGGAAGAUCAUGGCUGCUACUCUAUAGCUUCGAUUGAAAACUGCAAAGCACUGCAGGUUUUCUCUCCCCUGGCCGACUGAGUGGAGUGACAGAGUGGCUUUGGGAGACACCUGGCCUCCAGAC